AAAAAAAAAAUUGUGAAUGUUAAUUGUUUUUGGAAAUUAUUAUUUAUUAUUCAAGUACUUUGAUGUUGCUAUCUUUAUCUGCUUCAGAUUUAUUGAUUUGCUAUUUAACAUAAUUAUUCUAGCAAAUGUACAUUAGAAAAAUGAUUCAUGGAAAACAUCUUGUGAAAAGUGAAUAUGCUCCUCGUCCCAUAUUGUAGAAAUGGAGCAUUUUCAUACUGGUCAUUGUACUUUCAAUUCUUCUCUCUCUCUAUUUAUAUUGAUGUUGAGAGAAAUAAUAUAUUGUAAAUGCUUAUCUCUUGAUUUCAAAAUUUUAUGCAGAAUGGGUAGCCAGCCAGCUGCAAG
This 342-nucleotide unclassified non-coding RNA is filed under the name Hevea brasiliensis (rubber tree). The record is from RNAcentral. Lineage: Eukaryota; Viridiplantae; Streptophyta; Magnoliopsida; Malpighiales; Euphorbiaceae.